AUUCGUUUUAUUUUGUUAAACCCUAUUCUAUUUUCUUUCCUCUUUUGCGAAACCCUACCCGUCAUUAUUUUUUUUGAAUUUCCUGAGAAAACGCUGCACAAAUCUCCCUCAGAUUCAUUCCGAUUUCAGUAGGUAAGCCGUUCAUAAUUUUCAGUGUUGUUUCAUGCGCUACUUCCGUUCUUAAUCAUUUUUCUCAUGUGUUUUAGAACCAAAUUGAGCUCCGUUUCGUUCCAGCGAUUGUAGACUCAUUUAUCUUCGAGACCGAGCUUUGUUUUUUAGAAACGAUACGUUAUCUUUUCCGUUAUAGCCGCCGCCGUUUAUCGUUUUAAUGUAAUUCGCUGUUUUGAGUUCUAAAUCGAUCUCUCCGUAUUUUGAUUCGUUCGUAGCCGUUUCUAGAUCUAAUUCAGUUCCGUUUCUUUUCUGUGAUAGUAGACUCGUUUCUCUACAACUUUGCUCUUGGUGUUUUUCCAAACGACUCUUCGACUACUCGUGCUCAGGAGUCGAACCAGGGUUAGCUGUUUGCCGAAGUUUCACGUGGAUAAGCAAGCAGUGAGUUUGUAGUGCUAUUUACCGCUUUAUUAAGUACCGCAUCGUAUUUUAAUAUUAUAAAUGUUUGUGAACUGUUUUUACGGAUUAUGGAUCUGGAUUGAAACGAGCUACUCGAUAGGCUUGUAUCGAGACUGUGUGCACCGGUGAGUACUCUGGGAAACUGCAGACUAAAGUCUUGCUUACGCUGGUAUAUAUUUAUGACGAGGAUUUGUUCCCGUCCACUCUGAAUUUAUCAGUAUGCUAUGUCAUACUUACGCUGGGAUCAUUUCAAUACUGUUUUCCAUAAUCAUAUUAUAUUAGUAUAAAAAUGUUUUGAUUUAAGGGUUUUAAACUUAAUAAAUGUAAAUAGUAUUGCGAACUCAUCUCAGUAUAUCUGACCCCGUUGUUUUCCCAAAUUUUCCAGGUUUGUGAUUUGAAAGCUGGUCCACUCCGAUUCUUUUGAUUCCUCGGAGGUUUUAUGUUAUUUAAACUACUUCUGUUUUGAAACUCUUAGACCGCAGUAGAACUAGUUAAUAUAUUACAUUGUUAUUGCAGUUUGGGGUUAUCGAUUUGAUCGAUUAUUUAUUA
Mercurialis annua (annual mercury) is the source of this 1116-nucleotide long non-coding RNA. RefSeq lists it as uncharacterized. The record is from RefSeq and is a predicted model, not a curated record. The transcript is spliced from 2 exons. NCBI's taxonomy places the organism in Eukaryota, Viridiplantae, Streptophyta, Magnoliopsida, Malpighiales, Euphorbiaceae.